UACAGAGGGAGCAAGCGUUAUCCGGAAUGAUUGGGCGUAAAGCGUUUGUAGGUGGCUUGUAAAGUCUGCUGUCAAAUAUCAGGGCUUAACCUUGAGAAGGCAGCGGAGUACUCACAAGCUUGAGUGUGGUAGAGGUAGAGGGAAUUCCAUGUGGAGCGGUGAAAUGCGUAGAGAUAUGGAAGAACACCAGCGGCGAAGGCGCUCUACUGGGCCAACACUGACACUGAGAGACGAAAGCUAGGGUAGCCAAUGGG
This 254-nucleotide ribosomal RNA is filed under the name uncultured bacterium. Its description in RNAcentral is "partial 16S ribosomal RNA". It matches the Rfam family "Bacterial small subunit ribosomal RNA", at positions 524 to 776 of the family's 1533-position model. The record is from RNAcentral.